AUUUGAAGCCCAAAUUUCUUCUUCUUCGAGUCAUCGACGAAUAAAGGCCUCGAUUCGACGUCUUUCUUCUUGCCCGUUGGCGAAGCCUUCCUCUUCUCCUCUCGGGCUCGAACACCUCGGGAACCCUCGAAACCCUAGGAUCCAUGCAUGGGCCAGGGAACCCCGGCGGCAUGGGGGAGCAGGGCCUCCCCGGCGAUCGGAAGCGCGACGGCGAUAAGAAGGACAGGAAGUUCGAGCCGGCGGCCCCGCCGUCCCGCGUCGGCCGGAAGCAGUGCAAGCAGAAGGGUCCCGAGGACGCUGCUCGCCUCCCUGUCGUUACGCUCCUCUCCAAGUGCCGCCUCCGCCUCCUCAAGCUCGAGCGCGUCAAGAACUACCCCUUCAUGGAGGAGGAGUUCGUCGCCAACCAGGAGCGCCUCCGCCCCCAGGAGGAGAAGAACGAGGAGGACCGAUCCAAGGUCGACGACCUCCGGGGGUCGCCGAUGAGCGUUGGGAAUCUAGAGGAGCUCAUUGAUGAGAGAUCCAUGCCAUUGUUUCCUCGUCGGUCGGGCCGGAGUACUACGUUAGCAUCCUGUCCUUUGUCGACAAGGAUCAGCUGGAACCGGGAUGUGCGAUCCUUAUGCAUACCAAGGUCUUAUCUGUUGUUGGGCUUCUUCAUGAUGAAGUUGAUCAUAUGGUUUCUGUUAUGAAAGUUGAAAAAGCUCCUUUGGAAUUGUAUGCUGAUAUUGGUGGCUUAGAUGCACAAAUUCAAGAAAUUUAAAGAAUCAGUUGAACUUCCUUUGACACAUCCAGAGCUGUAUGAAAAUAUUGGAAUUAGACCUCCCAAGGGAGUCAUAUUAUAUGGAGAGCCUGGAACUGGUAAAACUUUACUUGCCAAGGCAGUGGCUAACUCAACAUCAGCAACUUUCUUAUGCAUUGUUGGAAGUGAGCUGAUUCAGAAAUAUUUGGGUGAUGGUCCAAAACUUGUCAGAGAACACUUCAGAGUGGCAGGUGAAUUCUCUCCUUCCAUAGUAUUUAUUGAUGACAUAGAUGCAAUUGGCACCAAAAGAUAUGAUGCUCAUUCUGGUGGUGAGCAUGAGACACAGAGAACCAUGUUGGAGUUGCUGAACUGGUUUGAUGGUUUUGACUUAAGGGGGGAUGUUUAGGUCAUUCUUGUGACCAACAGAAUUGAAAUCCUUGAUCCAGCCUUGCUUCAGCCUGGUUGUAUUGAUAGGAAGAUUGAAUUUCCAUCGCCAGAUAUUAAAACAAGAUGAUGUAUUUUUCAGAUACAUACCUCUAGAAUGACACUGGCGGAUGAUGUCAAUCUUGAAGAGUUUGCAAUGACGAAAGAUGAGUUUUCUGGAGCUGAUAUAAAGGUGAUCUGUACUGAAGCUGGCUUGCUUGCUUUAAGAGAACGCAGGAUGAAGGUAACUCAUGCUGACUUCAAGAAGGCCAAGGAAAAGGUAAUGUUUAAGAAGCAGGAAGGUGUGCCAGAGGGACUUUACAUGUAACUGAUGGUCUUGCCUGUUGAAAAUUAAGGAAAGAACUCAAAACUAGAACUGGCAAUUCAGUAGCAUGAUUGCUUUGACUUCUGGAACACUUGAGGGAAUUGAUGGGAAUCAGAUGGAAUUGGUGAAAUGGAAUAGUGCACUGAUCCGGUAUGCUGUCGUCACAUGAUUUAUCUAGGGUUGCAAGUGAUGAGUAUAAACUGCUGCUAAUGUUGAAACACUGCUCUUUUGAUGUUUUGGCUAAAAUGUAAAGGAGUAACGACUCACUGGCAAUUAUUUUGGCUAAGUUUAACCACACAUGAAUUCUGGAUUGACUGAGAGAAUGAUUCCACGAAUUUGUUAUUGUUAUUUUACUUAUCUUCGACAUAUCAUUGUCUUACCUAUAUUAUAUGUCCACAUGUGAGAAAAAUUUUAGAUAUUUAUGAGAUCAAAUGAUCAAUUAAUUAGCUUACAGGGAACUUGUAGAGGAGCUAACUACUUUUGUCCUUAUAUUCUUGUUUAUUUGGCAAAUAUUUCAGUCUCUCUUUGGUGACUUCAUUUUUUUCUGGCUACUUUAGUCUCUCUUUAUUUAUUUUAUUGUUCUGGCUUCAGGUAAACGUUGCUCAUACUACAUGAUGGUUAAGAGAUUGUCUUACGAGGGAACUGUGAUGUCCCAUCAGAUAGUGUGCCCCUUUAACAUGGAAUUCAGUGAUUGGCUUUUCUUAAUGUUCCCUUUGUUCUCACUUGGGUAUAAGGAUUGUAUUAUAUGUACUUGAAUUCAAUUUUUUUUGCAUUUUUUUAACUAGAGAGUAACUACUUGACGAAUAUCUAAAUGAAUGUUUCUGGGACAUUUAAGCUG
Molecule: non-coding RNA, 2322 nt
Organism: Musa acuminata subsp. malaccensis (wild Malaysian banana)
Lineage: Eukaryota; Viridiplantae; Streptophyta; Magnoliopsida; Zingiberales; Musaceae
Source: RefSeq, a predicted model, not a curated record